CCAGGUAUAGUUGGGGUUGCUCAACCUCACAUCCCACGUUUCACCUACCCGCGCGCGCAGGACACACGCUCGACUCCCCCUCGAUUCGCAGAUCUUAGCGCCCCCUGCUCCAAUCUGUUCCCGAAACCUAAAGCCGCGAUCCCAAUGCGCAGGGGUCCUGGCGAGGCGUCCCUCCGCCGCCGCCGCGCGCCGGCGCGGCUGUUGGUAGCCGUGGUGGCGCUCGUCACUUGCACUAUCUGCCUCUGGUCCUCCUCCACCGACCUCACCCUUGCCUCCUACAAGGCCCAGGAUGUUGAUGUAAAUAAGUUAUGGAGAACUGCAAAUUCAAAUGGCUGGAGAGCUUCUUCUGCACCACGAUCAUAUUGGCCUCCCCCGCCACCUGAGUCUGAGACUAAUGGGUACUUGCGUGUCCGAUGCAAUGGUGGCUUGAACCAACAACGUACCGCGAUAUGUAAUGCUGUUGUUGCUGCACGAAUAAUGAAUGCUACACUAGUACUGCCAGAAUUAGAUACAAACUCUUUCUGGCGUGACGAGAGUGGUUUCAUAGGUAUAUAUGAUGUUCCCCACUUCAUCAAGACAUUAAAAUAUGAUGUCCAUAUUGCUAUGAGCGUUCCAGAUAUCAUUACAAACGGAAAAACUAAGAAGCUGAAAGCCUACCAGAUCCGGCCACCUCGAGAUGCACCGGUAACUUGGUAUAUGACAGUUGCUUUAGAGAAGAUGAAGAGUUAUGGGGCUAUCUAUUUAACUCCAUUUUCACAUCGCUUGGCAGAAGAUAUAAAUGAUCCAGAGAUCCAGAGACUUCGGUGCCGGGUGAAUUAUCAUGCGUUACGAUUCAAGCCAAACAUCAUGAAAACAAGCAGUGAGAUAGUGAAUAAGCUCCGCUCAGAAGGCCAUUUCAUGUCGAUUCAUCUUCGGUUUGAGAUGGAUAUGCUUGCUUUUGCUGGGUGCAUUGAUAUAUUUACACCUCAGGAACAGAAAAUUCUGAUCAAGUACCGCAAGGAAAAUUUUGCAGAAAAAGAACUUGUCUAUAGGGAAAGACGGCUCAUUGGAAAGUGCCCUUUAACUCCAGAAGAGGUAGGACUUAUUCUUUGUGCACUGGGUUUUGAUAAUACAACACACAUCUACCUUGCUUCUGGAGAGCUCUUUGGUGGGAAACGCUUUAUGAGGCCCUUCAAGACUAUGUUUCCGCGCGUAGAAAACCAUAGCUCCGCUGGACCUGGAAAGCUGGAAGAAAAUACCCGUGGGCUGGCAGGUUCUGCAGUUGAUUACAUGGUCUGUCUCCUAUCAGACAUUUUUAUGCCCACGUAUGAUGGCCCAAGCAACUUUGCAAACAACCUCAUUGGUCACCGCCUAUACUAUGGUUUCCGUACCACCAUCACGCCAAACAGGAAGGCCCUUGCUCCCAUAUUCAUGGACAGGGAGGUAGGCUCAACAGCUGGUUUUGAGGAGCGAGUGAGGCAUGUCAUGAUGAAGAGAUAUGGUGCCCCCCACAAGCGCAUUCAUCCUGAAUCUUUCUAUACAAACUCAUGGCCAGAGUGCUUUUGCCAGGCAAACCCUAGGAAUCGUGCAGACAAAUGCCCACCAGACAAUAUACAUGAGGUUCUGGAGAAUCAGUUUCGGAGUGAAGGGAGUAUAGAAGUGAAAGCCACUAGUCAGAUAGAUUCAACCAGCGAAACCGAAGAGACUGUGAUUUAAUUGAGGAACCAAACUGUUAUUGUCUCAGAGGACUGACACUGAAUCAUCUAUCACGUAGCGGGUUAUUGCAUUUUCGAAUGGGUUGACUAUUGAGGGAUGCACUCAGGCCUAAUAAACUGGAAUGGAGGUGUGAGAUCCAGGAAAGGGGAGUUGGCUUCGUCCAAAUGAACUGGAGCAAGGAGGAGGGAGGGUGCCAAUGAAGGAAGAAUUUUAAGUUGAAAUAGAGAUAUGUACCUCGGGCCAAUUAGGCACGACAAAUUAGAUACUGUGCGGCUUUGGGACAAUUGGUUAGCGCAGAAAUAUCUAGCAUCUUCUACAGUCCUAAUACGAAGGUGGAAAUCAGAGAACAAGUUUGUAUUACUCUGAAUAUUUUGACUGAGGCCCUAAAUGAUAAAUAUCUAGGAUUGUCAGCACAUGUGGGAUUAGACAAACCAGAAUGUUUUCAAUUUCUGGUUGAGAGGAUAGUUAAAAAAUUAGUGGUUGGAAGGAAAAA
Molecule: RNA transcript, 2188 nt
Organism: Hordeum vulgare subsp. vulgare (domesticated barley)
Lineage: Eukaryota; Viridiplantae; Streptophyta; Magnoliopsida; Poales; Poaceae
Gene name: O-fucosyltransferase 1-like
Exons: 10
Source: RefSeq, a predicted model, not a curated record